GAUUAAGUUAUUAAGGGCGCACGGUGGAUGCCUUGGCACUAGAAGCCGAUGAAGGACGUUACUAACGACGAUAUGCUUUGGGGAGCUGUAAGUAAGCUUUGAUCCAGAGAUUUCCGAAUGGGGAAACCCAGCAUGAGUUAUGUCAUGUUAUCGAUAUGUGAAUACAUAGCAUAUCAGAAGGCACACCCGGAGAACUGAAACAUCUUAGUACCCGGAGGAAGAGAAAGAAAAUUCGAUUCCCUUAGUAGCGGCGAGCGAAAUGGGAAGAGCCCAAACCAACAAGCUUGCUUGUUGGGGUUGUAGGACACUCUAUACGGAGUUACAAAGGACGACAUUAGACGAAUCAUCUGGAAAGAUGAAUCAAAGAAGGUAAUAAUCCUGUAGUCGAAAAUGUUGUCUCUCUUGAGUGGAUCCUGAGUACGACGGAGCACGUGAAAUUCCGUCGGAAUCUGGGAGGACCAUCUCCUAAGGCUAAAUACUCUCUAGUGACCGAUAGUGAACCAGUACCGUGAGGGAAAGGUGAAAAGCACCCCGGAAGGGGAGUGAAAUAGAACCUGAAACCGUGUGCUUACAAGUAGUCAGAGCCCGUUAAUGGGUGAUGGCGUGCCUUUUGUAGAAUGAACCGGCGAGUUACGAUUUGAUGCAAGGUUAAGCAGUAAAUGUGGAGCCGUAGCGAAAGCGAGUCUGAAUAGGGCGUUUAGUAUUUGGUCGUAGACCCGAAACCAGGUGAUCUACCCUUGGUCAGGUUGAAGUUCAGGUAACACUGAAUGGAGGACCGAACCGACUUACGUUGAAAAGUGAGCGGAUGAACUGAGGGUAGCGGAGAAAUUCCAAUCGAACCUGGAGAUAGCUGGUUCUCUCCGAAAUAGCUUUAGGGCUAGCCUCAAGUGAUGAUUAUUGGAGGUAGAGCACUGUUUGGACGAGGGGCCCCUCUCGGGUUACCGAAUUCAGACAAACUCCGAAUGCCAAUUAAUUUAACUUGGGAGUCAGAACAUGGGUGAUAAGGUCCGUGUUCGAAAGGGAAACAGCCCAGACCACCAGCUAAGGUCCCAAAAUAUAUGUUAAGUGGAAAAGGAUGUGGCGUUGCCCAGACAACUAGGAUGUUGGCUUAGAAGCAGCCAUCAUUUAAAGAGUGCGUAAUAGCUCACUAGUCGAGUGACACUGCGCCGAAAAUGUACCGGGGCUAAACAUAUUACCGAAGCUGUGGAUUGUCCUUUGGACAAUGGUAGGAGAGCGUUCUAAGGGCGUUGAAGCAUGAUCGUAAGGACAUGUGGAGCGCUUAGAAGUGAGAAUGCCGGUGUGAGUAGCGAAAGACGGGUGAGAAUCCCGUCCACCGAUUGACUAAGGUUUCCAGAGGAAGGCUCGUCCGCUCUGGGUUAGUCGGGUCCUAAGCUGAGGCCGACAGGCGUAGGCGAUGGAUAACAGGUUGAUAUUCCUGUACCACCUAUAAUCGUUUUAAUCGAUGGGGGGACGCAGUAGGAUAGGCGAAGCGUGCGAUUGGAUUGCACGUCUAAGCAGUAAGGCUGAGUAUUAGGCAAAUCCGGUACUCGUUAAGGCUGAGCUGUGAUGGGGAGAAGACAUUGUGUCUUCGAGUCGUUGAUUUCACACUGCCGAGAAAAGCCUCUAGAUAGAAAAUAGGUGCCCGUACCGCAAACCGACACAGGUAGUCAAGAUGAGAAUUCUAAGGUGAGCGAGCGAACUCUCGUUAAGGAACUCGGCAAAAUGACCCCGUAACUUCGGGAGAAGGGGUGCUCUUUAGGGUUAACGCCCAGAAGAGCCGCAGUGAAUAGGCCCAAGCGACUGUUUAUCAAAAACACAGGUCUCUGCUAAACCGUAAGGUGAUGUAUAGGGGCUGACGCCUGCCCGGUGCUGGAAGGUUAAGAGGAGUGGUUAGCUUCUGCGAAGCUACGAAUCGAAGCCCCAGUAAACGGCGGCCGUAACUAUAACGGUCCUAAGGUAGCGAAAUUCCUUGUCGGGUAAGUUCCGACCCGCACGAAAGGCGUAACGAUUUGGGCACUGUCUCAACGAGAGACUCGGUGAAAUCAUAGUACCUGUGAAGAUGCAGGUUACCCGCGACAGGACGGAAAGACCCCGUGGAGCUUUACUGUAGCCUGAUAUUGAAAUUCGGCACAGCUUGUACAGGAUAGGUAGGAGCCUUUGAAACGUGAGCGCUAGCUUACGUGGAGGCGCUGGUGGGAUACUACCCUAGCUGUGUUGGCUUUCUAACCCGCACCACUUAUCGUGGUGGGAGACAGUGUCAGGCGGGCAGUUUGACUGGGGCGGUCGCCUCCUAAAAGGUAACGGAGGCGCUCAAAGGUUCCCUCAGAAUGGUUGGAAAUCAUUCAUAGAGUGUAAAGGCAUAAGGGAGCUUGACUGCGAGACCUACAAGUCGAGCAGGGUCGAAAGACGGACUUAGUGAUCCGGUGGUUCCGCAUGGAAGGGCCAUCGCUCAACGGAUAAAAGCUACCCCGGGGAUAACAGGCUUAUCUCCCCCAAGAGUUCACAUCGACGGGGAGGUUUGGCACCUCGAUGUCGGCUCAUCGCAUCCUGGGGCUGUAGUCGGUCCCAAGGGUUGGGCUGUUCGCCCAUUAAAGCGGUACGCGAGCUGGGUUCAGAACGUCGUGAGACAGUUCGGUCCCUAUCCGUCGUGGGCGUAGGAAAUUUGAGAGGAGCUGUCCUUAGUACGAGAGGACCGGGAUGGACAUACCUCUGGUGUACCAGUUGUCGU
This 2728-nucleotide ribosomal RNA is filed under the name Staphylococcus aureus. RNAcentral describes it as "partial 23S ribosomal RNA". It matches the Rfam family "Bacterial large subunit ribosomal RNA". The record is from RNAcentral. Lineage: Bacteria; Bacillati; Bacillota; Bacilli; Caryophanales; Staphylococcaceae.